RNAcentral lists this unclassified non-coding RNA (281 nucleotides) under Hevea brasiliensis (rubber tree). The record is from RNAcentral. Lineage: Eukaryota; Viridiplantae; Streptophyta; Magnoliopsida; Malpighiales; Euphorbiaceae.
UGUCCUGGUCCUUAGGUUUAUUGGAUUUUAUCUUCUUGCCUUAGCAUUGGGCCACUUAGGGCUGCUACCACCAAUUUAAUACAUACCCAUGUACCCUCAUCCUAAUAUAUUUGACUUCUUUUGUUAAUUACAGUAGUUUUCCAUCCCUGAAAAUGUUAAUUAACAUAAAAUAACAGUACAUAUUUCUCUUAUUUAAUGGUCAUGGACUGUUUUCAGUCAAAUAGCCCCACUUCUCACUUUCCACUAAUAAUAUCUUAAACAUAUUUGACUAACUAAUGAAG